This 467-nucleotide ribosomal RNA is filed under the name uncultured bacterium. RNAcentral's name for it is "partial 16S ribosomal RNA". It matches the Rfam family "Bacterial small subunit ribosomal RNA", at positions 28 to 506 of the family's 1533-position model. The record is from RNAcentral.
GACGAACGCUGGCGGCGUGCUUAACACAUGCAAGUCGAACGGAAAGGCCCUGCUUUUGUGGGGUGCUCGAGUGGCGAACGGGUGAGUAACACGUGAGUAACCUGCCCUUGACUUUGGGAUAACUUCAGGAAACUGGGGCUAAUACCGGAUAGGAGCUCCUGCUGCAUGGUGGGGGUUGGAAAGUUUCGGCGGUUGGGGAUGGACUCGCGGCUUAUCAGCUUGUUGGUGGGGUAGUGGCUUACCAAGGCUUUGACGGGUAGCCGGCCUGAGAGGGUGACCGGCCACAUUGGGAAUGAGAUACGGCCCAGACUCCUACGGGAGGCAGCAGUGGGGAAUAUUGCACAAUGGGCGGAAGCCUGAUGCAGCAACGCCGCGUGCGGGAUGACGGCCUUCGGGUUGUAAACCGCUGUCGCCUGUGACGAAGCGUGAGUGACGGUAAUGGGUAAAGAAGCACCGGCUAACUACGU